RNAcentral lists this long non-coding RNA (449 nucleotides) under Salvia miltiorrhiza (redroot sage). RNAcentral's name for it is "long non-coding RNA (SMIL_LNC000888)". The record is from RNAcentral. Lineage: Eukaryota; Viridiplantae; Streptophyta; Magnoliopsida; Lamiales; Lamiaceae.
AUGGGAGGAGCAGGAAUAGAAACAUGCUCUAUAGCAGCAGAAAUAUGAGGGAUGCUAAAAUCCUCCUUAGGAGUAGGGGGCUCAUCAGCUGCUAUUUUCUCAAUCUCCUCAUCUUUCUCCUCGGCAUCCUGCAGCUUUGAAUAAGACUGAUGUUGUGCACGCCUGUCCGAUUCUUCGAGCAGUCUUUCCAGAUCUUCCACUAUACGCCUAUACUCUGAGGGACACAUCAGUCAAACAUCAGGAGCCAUGAAAAAAAAAUUAAAGAAAAGAAAAGCCUGAAAUAAUGCCUAAGUCCUAUCAGGAAUAUUAAAGUAAAUUCUACACAGUCCCCGGCAACGGCGCCAAAAAGUUGAUCACUAAUUUAUUAGCAACAAAAUACCGCAACUAACACAGUGCAAUUGUAGCAAAAAUUGGUAACCGAGUAUCGUAUCCACAGGGACUGAUAAACG